This 253-nucleotide ribosomal RNA is filed under the name uncultured bacterium. Its description in RNAcentral is "partial 16S ribosomal RNA". It matches the Rfam family "Bacterial small subunit ribosomal RNA", at positions 524 to 776 of the family's 1533-position model. The record is from RNAcentral.
UACGUAGGUGGCAAGCGUUGUCCGGAAUUAUUGGGCGUAAAGGGCGCGUAGGCGGUACCCUAAGUCAGAUGUGAAAACCCGGGGCUUAACUCCGGACGUGCAUUUGAAACUGGGGAACUUGAGUGCAGGAGAGGUAAGUGGAAUUCCUAGUGUAGCGGUGAAAUGCGUAGAUAUUAGGAGGAACACCAGUGGCGAAGGCGACUUACUGGACUGUAACUGACGCUGAGGCGCGAAAGCGUGGGGAGCAAACAGG